UGGGGAAUAUUGCACAAUGGGCGAAAGCCUGAUGCAGCAACGCCGCGUGAGUGAUGAAGGCCUUCGGGUUGUAAAGCUCUGUCUUUUGGGACGAUAAUGACGGUACCAAAGGAGGAAGCCACGGCUAACUACGUGCCAGCAGCCGCGGUAAUACGUAGGUGGCAAGCGUUGUCCGGAAUUACUGGGCGUAAAGAAUGCGUAGGUGGAUAUGCAAGUCAGAUGUGAAAUACCCGGGCUCAACUUGGGUGCUGCAUUUGAAACUAUAUAGCUAGAGUGCAGGAGAGGAAAGCGGAAUUCCUAGUGUAGCGGUGAAAUGCGUAGAGAUUAGGAAGAACACCAGUGGCGAAGGCGGCUUUCUGGACUGUAACUGACACUGAGGCAUGAAAGCGUGGGGAGCAAACA
This 402-nucleotide ribosomal RNA is filed under the name uncultured bacterium. RNAcentral describes it as "bacterial SSU rRNA". It matches the Rfam family "Bacterial small subunit ribosomal RNA", at positions 355 to 774 of the family's 1533-position model. The record is from RNAcentral.